This 692-nucleotide long non-coding RNA is filed under the name Rhinopithecus bieti (black snub-nosed monkey). RNAcentral describes it as "lncRNA (ENSRBIG00000045387.1)". The record is from RNAcentral. Lineage: Eukaryota; Metazoa; Chordata; Mammalia; Primates; Cercopithecidae.
UUUGCCAGUAAGCUUUACUUUGUUAUUCUCAAAUCUUCCUUAAGAACUACUCUUUGUUGUCCGGAAGAUUCUUUUUUUUCUUCUAAGGGACUUUAAAAAAUAUAUACCAAGUGUUUUUCAUUGGCGAUAUUGCUUACUUUUCACAUAAUGUUAAUAGUUUACGGAUCUAAACAGAAGCCCAUGUGCAUGUAUUUCCCUAUAUAAUAUUUGCCUAUUCAUCAUAACAUUCUUUAAUUUUCAGAUAAUAGACUGUUGACAGCAACCGAUUCCAUUCAGUUGUGGGCUCCUCCAGGAGAUGAUAUUCUGGAAGAGGAGGAAGAAAUUGAUAAUAAAAUUCCUCCUGUUUUAAAUGAUUGGAAGUGCAUCUGGCAGUGCAAAACCUCAGUAUCUGUACAUUUGAUGGAAUGGUCUCCUGAUGGUGAAUAUUUUGCUACUGCUGGAAAGGAUGAUUGUCUUUUGAAAGUAUGGUAUCCUAUGACUGGUUGGAAGUCUUCAAUUAUACCUCAGGAUCAUCAUGAAGUGAAAAGGAGACAGUCCUCUACUCAAUUUUCCUUUGUUUACUUGGCACAUCCCCGAGCUGUGACAGGUUUUUCAUGGCGUAAAACUAGCAAGUAUAUGCCCAGGUUAGAUGAAUGAAUCAUACAACUUUAGUUUUUAUCCUUUUAUGUUUAUAAAAGUAAUGAAAGUAAAGU